This 26-nucleotide non-coding RNA is filed under the name Homo sapiens (human). The record is from RNAcentral. Lineage: Eukaryota; Metazoa; Chordata; Mammalia; Primates; Hominidae.
UCAUUGUUUCACUGUGUUGCCUAGGC